CAAAAUGUAGCUUAAUUAAAGCACCUGCCUUACACCAAGAAAAUAUCUAUUAAACCCAGAUCAUUUGA
This 68-nucleotide transfer RNA is filed under the name Scinax skaios. RNAcentral's name for it is "tRNA-Val". Lineage: Eukaryota; Metazoa; Chordata; Amphibia; Anura; Hylidae. The record is from RNAcentral.